GCAUAUCAAUAAGCGGGAGGAAAAGAAACCAACCGGGAUUGCCCCGGUAACGGCGAGGGAAGCGGCAAGAGCUCAAAUUUGAAAUCUGGCCCCUCCGGGGUCCGAGUUGUAAUUUGCAGAGGAUGCUUCGGGUGCGGCCCCCGUCUAAGUGCCCUGGAACGGGCCGUCAGAGAGGGUGAGAAUCCCGUCUUGGGCGGGGUGUCCGUGCCCGUGUGAAGCUCCUUCGACGAGUCGAGUUGUUUGGGAAUGCAGCUCUAAAUGGGUGGUAAAUUUCAUCUAAAGCUAAAUACUGGCCGGAGACCGAUAGCGCACAAGUAGAGUGAUCGAAAGAUGAAAAGCACUUUGAAAAGAGAGUUAAACAGCACGUGAAAUUGUUGAAAGGGAAGCGCUUGCGACCAGACUCGCCCGCGGGGUUCAGCCGGCACUCGUGCCGGUGUACUUCCCCGUGGGCGGGCCAGCGUCGGUUUGGGCGGCCGGUCAAAGGCCUCCGGAAUGUAUCGCCCUCCGGGGCGUCUUAUAGCCGGGGGUGCAAUGCGGCCAGCCCGGACCGAGGAACGCGCUUCGGCACGGACGCUGGCAUAAUGGUCGUAAACGACCCGUCUUGAAACACGGACCAAGGAGUCUAACAUCUACGCGAGUGUUCGGGUGUCAAACCCGUACGCGCAGUGAAAGCGAACGGAGGUGGGAGCCCCCCCGGGGGCGCACCAUCGACCGAUCCUGAUGUCUUCGGAUGGAUUUGAGUACGAGCGUAGCUGUGGGGACCCGAAAGAUGGUGAACUAUGCCUGAAUAGGGCGAAGCCAGAGGAAACUCUGGUGGAGGCUCGCAGCGGUUCUGACGUGCAAAUCGAUCGUCAAAUUUGGGUAUAGGGGCGAAAGACUAAUCGAAACCUUCUGG
RNAcentral lists this ribosomal RNA (895 nucleotides) under Aspergillus anthodesmis. RNAcentral describes it as "LSU rRNA". It matches the Rfam family "Eukaryotic large subunit ribosomal RNA", at positions 38 to 947 of the family's 3401-position model. Lineage: Eukaryota; Fungi; Ascomycota; Eurotiomycetes; Eurotiales; Aspergillaceae. The record is from RNAcentral.